Molecule: ribosomal RNA, 2873 nt
Filed under: Salmonella enterica
Lineage: Bacteria; Pseudomonadati; Pseudomonadota; Gammaproteobacteria; Enterobacterales; Enterobacteriaceae
Also listed under: 1 other name
Description: partial 23S ribosomal RNA
Rfam family: Bacterial large subunit ribosomal RNA
Source: RNAcentral
GGGUUGUGAGGUUAAGCGACUAAGCGUACACGGUGGAUGCCCUGGCAGUCAGAGGCGAUGAAGGACGUGCUAAUCUGCGAUAAGCGCCGGUAAGGUGAUAUGAACCGUUAUAACCGGCGAUUUCCGAAUGGGGAAACCCAGUGUGAUUCGUCACACUAUCAUUAACUGAAUCCAUAGGUUAAUGAGGCGAACCGGGGGAACUGAAACAUCUAAGUACCCCGAGGAAAAGAAAUCAACCGAGAUUCCCCCAGUAGCGGCGAGCGAACGGGGAGGAGCCCAGAGCCUGAAUCAGCAUGUGUGUUAGUGGAAGCGUCUGGAAAGGCGCGCGAUACAGGGUGACAGCCCCGUACACAAAAGCGCAUGUGCUGUGAGCUCGAUGAGUAGGGCGGGACACGUGGUAUCCUGUCUGAAUAUGGGGGGACCAUCCUCCAAGGCUAAAUACUCCUGACUGACCGAUAGUGAACCAGUACCGUGAGGGAAAGGCGAAAAGAACCCCGGCGAGGGGAGUGAAAAAGAACCUGAAACCGUGUACGUACAAGCAGUGGGAGCACAGGUUUACCUGUGUGACUGCGUACCUUUUGUAUAAUGGGUCAGCGACUUAUAUUCUGUAGCAAGGUUAACCGUAUAGGGGAGCCGGAGGGAAACCGAGUCUUAAUUGGGCGUUAAGUUGCAGGGUAUAGACCCGAAACCCGGUGAUCUAGCCAUGGGCAGGUUGAAGGUUGGGUAACACUAACUGGAGGACCGAACCGACUAAUGUUGAAAAAUUAGCGGAUGACCUGUGGCUGGGGGUGAAAGGCCAAUCAAACCGGGAGAUAGCUGGUUCUCCCCGAAAGCUAUUUAGGUAGCGCCUCGUGAAUUCAUCUCCGGGGGUAGAGCACUGUUUCGGCUAGGGGGCCAUCCCGGCUUACCAACCCGAUGCAAACUGCGAAUACCGGAGAAUGUUAUCACGGGAGACACACGGCGGGUGCUAACGUCCGUCGUGAAGAGGGAAACAACCCAGACCGCCAGCUAAGGUCCCAAAGUCAUGGUUAAGUGGGAAACGAUGUGGGAAGGCCCAGACAGCCAGGAUGUUGGCUUAGAAGCAGCCAUCAUUUAAAGAAAGCGUAAUAGCUCACUGGUCGAGUCGGCCUGCGCGGAAGAUGUAACGGGGCUAAACCAUGCACCGAAGCUGCGGCAGCGAACGUAUCACCCAAGACAACUUUACGGAGUUGACGAUUGACGGAGCGAAGCGACGUCAAAGCGUUCAUUAAAGUCGAGUUGGCUUAGGGAUACGUUCGUUGGGUAGGGGAGCGUUCUGUAAGCCUGUGAAGGUGUGUCGUGAGGCAUGCUGGAGGUAUCAGAAGUGCGAAUGCUGACAUAAGUAACGAUAAAGCGGGUGAAAAGCCCGCUCGCCGGAAGACCAAGGGUUCCUGUCCAACGUUAAUCGGGGCAGGGUGAGUCGACCCCUAAGGCGAGGCCGAAAGGCGUAGUCGAUGGGAAACGGGUUAAUAUUCCCGUACUUGGUGUUACUGCGAAGGGGGGACGGAGAAGGCUAUGUUGGCCGGGCGACGGUUGUCCCGGUUUAAGCGUGUAGGUGUGUGUUCCAGGUAAAUCCGGUUCACUUUAACACUGAGGCGUGACGACGAGGCACUACGGUGCUGAAGCAACAAAUGCCCUGCUUCCAGGAAAAGCCUCUAAGCAUCAGGUAACACGAAAUCGUACCCCAAACCGACACAGGUGGUCAGGUAGAGAAUACCAAGGCGCUUGAGAGAACUCGGGUGAAGGAACUAGGCAAAAUGGUGCCGUAACUUCGGGAGAAGGCACGCUGACACGUAGGUGAAGUGAUUUACUCAUGGAGCUGAAGUCAGUCGAAGAUACCAGCUGGCUGCAACUGUUUAUUAAAAACACAGCACUGUGCAAACACGAAAGUGGACGUAUACGGUGUGACGCCUGCCCGGUGCCGGAAGGUUAAUUGAUGGGGUCAGCGUAAGCGAAGCUCCUGAUCGAAGCCCCGGUAAACGGCGGCCGUAACUAUAACGGUCCUAAGGUAGCGAAAUUCCUUGUCGGGUAAGUUCCGACCUGCACGAAUGGCGUAAUGAUGGCCAGGCUGUCUCCACCCGAGACUCAGUGAAAUUGAACUCGCUGUGAAGAUGCAGUGUACCCGCGGCAAGACGGAAAGACCCCGUGAACCUUUACUAUAGCUUGACACUGAACAUUGAGCCUUGAUGUGUAGGAUAGGUGGGAGGCUUUGAAGUGUGGACGCCAGUCUGCAUGGAGCCGACCUUGAAAUACCACCCUUUAAUGUUUGAUGUUCUAACGUGGACCCGUAAUCCGGGUUGCGGACAGUGUCUGGUGGGUAGUUUGACUGGGGCGGUCUCCUCCUAAAGAGUAACGGAGGAGCACGAAGGUUGGCUAAUCCUGGUCGGACAUCAGGAGGUUAGUGCAAUGGCAUAAGCCAGCUUGACUGCGAGCGUGACGGCGCGAGCAGGUGCGAAAGCAGGUCAUAGUGAUCCGGUGGUUCUGAAUGGAAGGGCCAUCGCUCAACGGAUAAAAGGUACUCCGGGGAUAACAGGCUGAUACCGCCCAAGAGUUCAUAUCGACGGCGGUGUUUGGCACCUCGAUGUCGGCUCAUCACAUCCUGGGGCUGAAGUAGGUCCCAAGGGUAUGGCUGUUCGCCAUUUAAAGUGGUACGCGAGCUGGGUUUAGAACGUCGUGAGACAGUUCGGUCCCUAUCUGCCGUGGGCGCUGGAGAACUGAGGGGGGCUGCUCCUAGUACGAGAGGACCGGAGUGGACGCAUCACUGGUGUUCGGGUUGUCAUGCCAAUGGCACUGCCCGGUAGCUAAAUGCGGAAGAGAUAAGUGCUGAAAGCAUCUAAGCACGAAACUUGCCCCGA